This 8502-nucleotide long non-coding RNA is filed under the name Lactuca sativa (garden lettuce). RNAcentral describes it as "long non-coding RNA (LSAT_LNC002897)". The record is from RNAcentral. Lineage: Eukaryota; Viridiplantae; Streptophyta; Magnoliopsida; Asterales; Asteraceae.
GCUUUACUCAAACUCCGGGAGUUGACUAUGAUGAAACUGUUGGAUUAGUGUCUAAGUCCAUAACUAUUUUGGUAUGUACUUGACCCGAUGGUGCAUGGUCCUUUUGGGUUGCCUUCACCAAAUCAACUUGAUAGGAUGAAUUAUGGAGAGAAAGGAUUAAUUAUGAUUUAUUAAUAUAUUAUGAGAAUAAUAUAUUAAAGGAGAAAUCAUAUUGUUUAAUUAAUAUUAGUCAAGAAUUAAUUGGUAAUUAGUUUUGUGGCUAAAAGAGAUUAAUUAAACUUAAGGGACUGGAAUUGUAAUUAUAAGAUAAUUGCAAUUGGGCUAUGGAUUACCUUAUAAUAUAAGGUUGGACGAAUUCUAUGGGGAAACCCAUUAGAAAUCGUCCAAGGCUUAUUAAAGAAGGGUCCAUGGGCUGCUUAGGGCUUAAGCAGUCAGUUUAGGGUUUCCUAGUUCAAAACCCUAAUAGCCUACAUGUAUAUAAAGUACCCUUAAGCCCCAAAAACGUGGUGAACAUGUUCCUUAGGGUUUUCACACGUUUUGGGCAGCCUCCUUCUCUUCUCCUCUUCAUCCUCUUGCUCUUGGUGUUUGUGAACCAUUAGAGGAGUGACAUUUGUGACUCUAAGCUUUCUAAAGUCAUUACAAGGAGGAUUUGAGAUUGUUAUUGCUACAUAACAAUCAAGGUAUGAUCUAAACCCUAAUUCAUAUGUUAUAUUGAUUAUCAUAUACUAGAUCUAGGGUUUAUAGUCUUGGAUGAAUUGCAUGUACAAUAGAGAAACCUAGAUCCAAGCAUUAGGGUUUGUAUGAGCACAUAGGAUGUUCUUAUGGCUAAAACCCAUCAGUGGUAUCAGAGCCUUGAUUGGUUUCUAUUGUAUUGAUGCCUUGUAUGUUUGUUCAAGUUGUAAAAUCGAGUUUUGAGCUCCCUGCCUGAUGAACUCGGCGAGUACCACAGUGUACUCGGCGAGUAGGCCUCAACUCGGCGAGUACAGUGUGGUACUCGGCGAGUUCGAGCGUCAGAUGGAGCUAUUUUCGGGAUUUCUUGCUGUUUUACUCAUGGAUACUUGCCUUAUCUGUUUUAGGUCAUUAAAAUCCGAUUUUAUACAUAUUUAUGAGUAUAUCCUUGAUUAAACAAAAGAUAAUUACCAAUUGAUUAGAUAAUAACUUCCUUAUAUGAUAAAGUUUGAUUAUUUGUAUUAAUUGGGUAACUUAUUUUGCAAGAAAUUGAAAUUAGGUCAAAUAUAGAUAAUGAUAAAAUUAAUUGUUUAAUUUAUAUUAUUUGUUAUUUGAUCCUUGUGUUAUGAAAAGUUUCAAUUUUCCCCUUUAGGUUUUAUAGUUUAAAUUUGAACUCAAAAGUUUUGUUUUGAAAUUUAAAUAGUUGAAACCCUAAUGUUUUGAAAAGGUUUCAAAACUUGCCCUCAAGUUUUGGAAUUUAAAUUUUGAUUAAAAGUUUAAUUUUGAUGUACAUUUAAAUUCUAAACCCUAAUGUUUUGAAAUGUUUCAAAACUUGCCCUCAAGUUUUGGAAUUUAAAAGUUGAUUAAAAGUUUAAUUUAGGAAUGUUAAAUUCUAAAACCCUAGUAUUGUUUUGAAAAGUUCAAAUCACACCCUUAUGGUUUUAUUAAUUAAUUAAGGUGUAUAAUUAAAAGAGGUUUAAUAAAUCCAUAAAAGUUUAGGUUUACAAUUUAAUUGAAUUAAAAGUAUAAUUGUUAAAUUUGACCACCUAGUAUUUUAAAAGUGUAAAAUACACCCUAUACUAUAUAUAACAUUAAAAGUCUAACAUUAUAUAUAUGUAUGAGUAAAAGUCAGUCUUACCGUUAGUAGGCCUCAUUCACGAAGCUGGUCUAUAAGGGGUGUUUAAGGAAAUUGCCUAUAAAAUGGCGAUUGAAUGGGUAUCCACUCUUACCCACCGCACUCUUGACUAGUGGAGGGUCGUUAGCCGAACGGGUAGGAUAGGACAAAACCUUCCAUUAUAAGUAUAAUGAAUUACAAAAGUAACUAAAUGUUUUACAAAUUCCCAAUCUUAGUUACUUAGGCAAAAGUGAAUUGAUGCAAUUCCAUGAAAUUACACUUUGUGCCCUUGCGAAGACGUUAGUGGAGCGUGUGUGGUUUACCGGCACACUAAAUGGUUCUAAGCAAAGGUAGCAAAGGGUGACUCAAUGUUUGUCAUAGUUCGGUGGAGCGUGUGUGGUUUACCGGCACAUCGAAUAGGUGACUGUAACAUGUGAGGGCACCAUGUAAGUUUGCAUGGUUAUUCACACCCGCUUUGUGAUCCUCGGCAUCCCAGUCACAAACAAGAGGGGCAUAUCGAGAUUUAAACAUGCCAUUGAAAGUUCAAUGAAUCUCAAAGGAUCUAGGAGUUUUCAUAGAUUUAAAACUUAAAUUUCUUUUUCGUUUUUCAUGGUGGAAAUUAGUGAAUCGUCAUUCACUUACCUUCAAAUAUUCUGCAAUUAGGGUUACGGCAUCCCUCUCCCGAGUUGUAGAAUAUUGUGUUGGGUCCUAGCCUUAGUAUCUCAUUUGGGUGAUUUACUAAGGACUCAAUCAAUCAACUAACUUGAAUUCGUUUUCUCCCGUUUUGUAGAUGUCAAAGUUCGACAACUAUGGUCUUCCCAAAUCCCGUGGAACAAGCAUUCCACAUGAAGAUGAUAUUCCACGAUUCGAUCGAGGAACAAGAAAUCAUGCUUCACUUCCUCCUCCUCCUCCAAUUAUUCUCCCUAACCCACAAGUUCAAAGGCUUGAAAAGUUCAAGAUCACUCAAGCCCUUUUGGCAAGUAAACAUAAAGAAGGAAAGUCGGUGUGUGCACACGUCCUAGGGAUGAAGUCACACAUUGAUAGGUUAAGAAUGUUGGGAUCCGUUGUCUGUGAGGAAAUGGCUGUUGAUUGGGUUCUUCAGUCACUUCCUAACUCAUAUAGUGAGUUCGUAAGAGAGUACUAUAUGAUGAACCGCGACGUGACCCUUAUAGAUCUCACCUAUAUGCUUAUUGCUGCUGAAUCAGCAAUGGUUUGGCGCAAUAGAAAAGCAAAGUUGAUUGGUGAAUCUGCCUUCAAGACCUCUAUGGAUAUAGACAAUGGCAACGAAAGACAUGCUAUGAUCGAAAAGUUUGAUCAUAAGAGAAAGGCAAUGUCUGAAGUAGUUCCAUGUCAUGUUCCAAAAGAGUCAAUUUGCUUUUAUUGCCAAGAGAAAGGGCAUUGGAGACGAAGCUGCCCCAUUUACCUAAGAGAUCUAAGAGAUGGGAGAGUCGAAACGUAUGGCUCUAAUAUAGGUAAAAUCCAUUAACUAACUCUUUUAAGCUUCUAUUCUAGAUUCUUAAUACAUAAUGUGAUAAGAUUACAAUUGAUGUUUUGUAGGAUCGAAGAAAAGAAAGGAAGCUUAAGGGAAGAAGUGAGCAGAAUCUAACCGUGAAGGAAUGGAUUUCGAUCGCAUUUCUCGAAGAUUAGAUUCUUGAGCUACUACUUAGAGUUAGAAUUAGAUUGCUAAGAAAGAUGUAUUAGCAUAGUUUUUCAAUGAAUUGCAUUGUAAGGACAAAUUUUUUCCGCAAUAAAAUAAAUUUUGAUUUUAUAUUAUUUAUUUAUCCUUGCAAUGGCGUAUAUGAAAAAUUGAUGUUUGAAUGUUUCUAUUAUUAGCAAUAAUGGAUUUGGUUCUUAUUAUGUUAUUUAUGGAAAGUCGAGAGUUUACCAAAUAGGGAGAGUUUCUCAUCGCCCAAGUUUCAAUUGGACAGAAACUUGGAAUCAUGCAACUUGGUUGCACGAUGAAUGAGAAAUUUCAUAUUUGGAAAUUAGACUAAUUCAUUGACAAAGUGUCAAGUGAAGGACUAGGAGAUCGAGUACACAAAGUUGCGUGUUGAUCAAGUCCACCAUAAGAGUAACAAAGAUAUUCGUCAUGAUUUACUAAAGGUUUAGUAAAUAUGAUUAUACUUACAAGAUUAAGUGUAAUUCUGAAUUGAUUGAAAAAGUUUAAAUCAAUAGCAGAACGAAUAAGAAGAAUCAAGUAGGCAGAAAGAUAAAAGUUUCUCCAUUCUAAGAAGAAGGGAGAGUACCUUUUAUGCUUUAUGAUAGGUCUUAAUGAUUAAGAACCAUAUCUCAAUUGAUCCUCUAAGUGAGUCUUAGUACAAUUGUAUGUCUAAGAAGAGGAAUCAAGAAUUGAAGAAAUGGUUAAAUCAAGAAGUCAAUCAUACUUCGUUCCAAAACAAGUCUUAGAGUUAAGAUUGUGACAUUGAGUGAAAAGUAUUAAGAAGGUUUAUAACAUUCAUCAAAUGUGGAAAGUUGUGAUGUCUUGGAUAAGACAAAGACCAACUAGGACCAAUUUAUGAAGUGUUUUGAUAAAAGCUACACUAACUCUUGAAUAUUUGUUUGUCAAGAAAUGUUUAUUGACAAGAGAAUCUUAUAUGUCAAGGAGUCAGUGGGAGUCUUAAUGGUCUUGAAAGGUUUCAAGAACAAAUCAAAUAAACCUUAUCGAUCAUCACUAGCACACGAGUUGAGGUUUACAACCUAUCGUGUUGACAUUAUUUUGUUUCUGUGCCAAUCCAAUCGAGUUAAUUAUGCAUGUGAGUUCUAUGAGUUCUCAUUUUGAACGCAUAAAAGGCAAAGCACCUUAAUCAAUGAAAGGUACAUUGAUAGGAAAGGGUGAGCUGCUUAACUACUUGGAAGACAUGGUGGGCAGCUGUGCUACCAUAAGGCAAGAAAUCAAGAUUAAGAAAGUUCGGUCCAUAUGAGUUUGGAUUUGUCGCAAACUUUGGUUUUGACAAAUUCACAUGGAUAGGAACACAUACACCAUUAAAAUCUAAGUGUCAUAAGAUUCCCUCCUUCAUGAAAAUGACUGUGAGGAAAUGCUUUCACUAAGAGAGAUUUUAAGAAAAUAAUGAUUGUGAAAAUUGGAUUCUCGAAUUUGAUUAUGGUUACGGUAUCCUUUUCCAUGAUUUGAAUUGUGAGAUUUAGCAAUUAGUCUGAAUUGUUUAGACACACAUAUGAGCUAUCUAAGGAAAAAGUGUAUAAGCUUAGAUAAAGGAUUAUCAAAGCAUUAGGUAUUAGAAAUAUGAACAUAAGAAAUUCAAUUAGUAUUGUUUUUCUGGAAGUUAAGUUGGUUUAUGAAUACAUGUCAAAGCUAGUGGGAGCAUAAGUGUUAUGCUUAUAUGAUAAUAAUCAUCAUGAUAGUGGGAGCAUAAAUGUUAUGCUUGUAUGAUUAUUAUGGCAAGUAUUGCAAGUUAGCAAUAUUAAUUAUAGAAAACAAGAGUUAUACUUUGCAAAGUCGUAAGGGUUGAAAAGUUGUUUUGCUAUAAUUAAGGGAGAGAAUAUUAUGCUUCAUUUCAAAUCUAAAGGCUUAGGUUGUGGAAUGUUAAUAAAUUUAGUCAAGGAUACAUAGUGCGUUCUCAAAAUUUCGAUUAUGAUUAUGUCAUCCCUCUUCAUAAAUCGAAUUGUGAGAAUGUGACACAUAAAAUAUUAUGGCAAAAGAUUGAUAAAGUAUCAGAUCUUUAUGUAAGACAUUAUGCAUCGUGUCCUAUACGCCUCGAUUAAAGGAUCGAUUGCAAAUGCUAUAAUAUUUGUCCAUUCUAAAAUUUUCCAAAUGUCUAGCACAUUAAGAGGGAAAAAGGACAAGAAUCGGUUUUGACUAAGAUAAUUAAACAACUAUCAAAGGACGAUCCAAAGCUCGCUGAGGAUUGGUCGCUUGUGAGUAGUUGGAAGUAUGGUAUUGGAUGGACCAUAUCGACAUUAUUAUGAAUAGAUAAGAUUCUAUUAAGAAUGAGUUGUCAUAUGGCAAAUAUGGAAAUGUUUCCAUAUUGGGAGUUGGAUAUUGAGAAUCUAUGUCUAGAUUAGAAACUUUUAUGCAAGAAGGAUGUUCAAAGGAAUGUACUUUGAGUGAGAGACAUCAUAUCUAUAGAAUUGUUUCUGAUAGAGAUUGGCCAAGUCUUGAUGAUUUUGAGCUAUGACUUUACGAAAGAAUCAUUGCAUAAAAUGUUAGAAUCUAGCAUAAGUAACAAGAAUUUGAUAUUCUUAUACUUAUGAUAAGGAUUGGGAGUUGUGAAAUGAGUAUGAUUGGAAAUGUGUUCAUUUGAUCUAUUUCACAAAGUAAGGACCGUAGGUAAACAUUGUGUGCAUGCUAAGAGCAUGGGACAAGUGUUGUAAUAAUUCAAGUAAGAAGUUGAUUACCCGAAACAACAAAUAAUGAGUAAUCGAUAUGGUGAUAAAUAAAAGGUGUUUUAUUUAUACUCAAAGGUUUGAGGCCAUAUGGGAUUAGUAUUAUUCUUGUGUUUCACUUUGCAUGUUUUGACUUCCUGAAUAAUUAAAUUGGUUGAGAACAAUCAAAUUAUUCAAACGGACCACAGUCGUUCAUAUGUUGGAAGUAGGUAUGAAUGAAGACUGUCGUGAAUUGGUGUGUGGAUUGUCUAAAGUGUAUUAGACAUAAGCAAAUGUUUGCUGCAACGUUCAUGAGUGCUUAUGAAUAUGAUUUGAGCAUUGGAUUAAACCCACGCUCACUUGGAUCACUCCAUGAAUUGUAUCACGAGUGAUUGGUGAGACGAUAACAUCUUAUAUUCUUGAAACCGAGAUGUGUGAGUUGUAUCUUGCAAAUCGGUUGCACAUUGAUAAUAUGUAAACGCACUAGUAACUUGGUGUUAUAAAACAUAUUGUUGUGUGUGAUUCGGUAAGUGAGUGCAAGCAAGCAUUGAGUCAAAGUUUAUCCGUUCCUUUUAUCCCAAGUAAGAUAAAAGCGAUAUCUUUGGGCCUCUGGAUGAUUUAGUGAUGGCACCUAAGCGCUUGGCCAAGCCGGGACUAAUUUGAUGAGAUCAAUUGUAGUCUGUUGUCAGUCGUCAUAAAUUGGAAGUCGGGAAAUAGUAUAAAGAGAAUGAUUAAGUUCAUGUCUCAUAUCUAUAUGAUAUCUAGAAUGGAGGAAUAUAUGAUCCCUUAUCUAAGGACACGCGUAUCUGAUAGGAUCAGAGUUGACAGCGGCUUUGGAAAGCUACGAUUGCAGAUCAGGAUCUGAAGUCAUACGCAGAAUAGUUAUUAGACUUAUCCAAGUGGGAGACUGUUGGAUUAGUGUCUAAGUCCAUAACUAUUUUGGUAUGUACUUGACCCGAUGGUGCAUGGUCCUUUUGGGUUGCCUUCACCAAAGCAACUUGAUAGGAUGAAUUAUGGAGAGAAAGGAUUAAAUAUGAUUUAUUAAUAUAUUAUGAGAAUAAUAUAUUAAAGGAGAAAUCAUAUUGUUUAAUUAAUAUUAGUCAAGAAUUAAUUGGUAAUUAGUUUUGUGGCUAAAAGAGAUUAAUUAAACUUAAGGGACUGGAAUUGUAAUUAUAAGAUAAUUGCAAUUGGGCUAUGGAUUACCUUAUAAUAUAAGGUUGGACGAAUUCUAUGGGGAAACCCAUUAGAAAUCGUCCAGGGCUUAUUAAAGAAGGGUCCAUGGGCUGCUUAGGGCUUAAGCAGUCAGUUUAGGGUUUCCUAGUUCAAAACCCUAAUAGCCUACAUGUAUAUAAAGGACCCUUAAGCCCCAAAAACGUGGUGGACAUGUUCCUUAGGGUUUUCACACGUUUUGGGCAGCCUCCUUCUCUUCUCCUCUUCAUCCUCUUGCUCUUGGUGUUUGUGAACCAUUAGAGGAGUGACAUUUGUGACUCUAAGCUUUCUAAAGUCAUUACAAUGAGGAUUUGAUAUUGUUAUUGCUACAUAACAAUCAAGGUAAUAUCUUAAACCCUAUUUUGUGUUAAUAUGAUUAAUUGCAUGCUAGAUCUAGGGUUUAUAGCUUUGGAUAUUCAAUUGCAUGUUCAUUAGACAAACUAGAUCCAAAAGCUAUUAGGGUUUGCAUGUACACCAUAGGAAUGAUGUAUAGUCUAAAACCCAUCAGAAACCAUCUCGCCAGUAGCGAAGAUUAAGUCUAUUAGGGUUAUGCUAGCCAUAGCUGCAUUUCAUGAUUAUGAAAUAUCGAAAAUGGAUGUCAAACCCGCUUUCCUUAAUGAAAAGUUGGCUGAGGAUGUUUACAUGAGUCAGCCAUAGGGUUUUGUCGAUGCAAAGUACCCUAAUAGAGUGAGUAAGCUUGAGAAAUCGAUUUAUGGAUUAAAACAAGAAUCCUCAGAUGGAAUAUUUGUUUCGAUGAGAAAGUCAAAGAGUUUGGAUUUUCGAGAAGCGAGGAUGAGUCAUGUGUAUAUGUCAAAGCUAGUGGGAGUACAGUUAGCUUUCUGGUGUUGUAUGUGGAUGACAUACUUCUCAUAGGAAAUGACAUACCAACCUUGCAGGAGGUUAAGUCCUGGCUUGGGAAGUGUUUCACUAUAAAGGACCUUAGAGAAGAUGCCUAUAUUCUUGGGAUAAGGAUAUUGAGAGACAGGAUUCAGAGACUAAUUGGACUUAGUCAAAGUAGCUACUUAGAAAAGGUGUUCAAAAGAUUCAGCAUGAUGGAUUCCAAGACAGGUGACUUACCGAUCCAGAGCAAUGCUAUGCUGAGUAAAACUCAGAGUCCGAGUACAGAGGCUGAGAUAGAUGAUAUGAGUCGAGUACCAUAUGCUUCCGUUGUUGGCUCGAUCAUGUAUGCU